UUAUUGUAUUUUCUAAUAAAAUGUAAAAAUCCCAAUGCGUAAAGUGUAUUGUUACUAAAAAGAACAAGGUUAAAAAAUUAAUAUUUCUUUAGUUUAAAUAGUUUUGAUUGAAAAAUACCGCAACAACUUUGGACAAUGAUUCCAUUCAGCAUCUUUUUCAAAAGGCACAUAAACUGGCUACCAUCAAUGCAUUAUAUUAAUUUUGAUCAGCAUUUUGCAAGGGCUUCAUUAAACAAUUUAUUAAAACAAUUUUUGAGAUUACAUCAUAUAUCCAUUGAAUAUCUGUCAUUUACCAGAAAUCAUCAUGUUUUAUUGGACUUUGUAAUAUUUGUGAAUAUUUAAUAGUAUGCAAUUUUUAACAGUGCAGUGUAAAGUGUUUAUACAUUUAUGAAAUAUAAUGAAUGUUUAUAUUAUGAUUGACAAAGUAUACAUAAUAUAGAUUUAUAUAAGACCAAUAUAUAACUUCAAAUACUUGAUGCAGCAAUCCUGAAUAUUUUCCUUGUCUCUUCUAUGAUUCUAAAUUUAGAAGUAACUUUUUAAUUUUCAAAAAUAUAAAGUCACAGUAAAAGAUUGAAUCAUUAUCGCCUAUCAUGCCUGUGGAGGGAGAUAUAAUGUAUAUUUUGCACACUCAUUGUUUAUUUAUCAAGUGGACAGUCCCAUAGAAAAUAAUUCUGCUGUUAUCUAAAAAGAAUAUUUUUUUGGUUCAAAUAUAAACUGCUGCAUAGAGUCUUUUUUAUUCAUAUAUUUUUAUGCAUGUUAAUUGCAAAAGGGCAAACUCUUGUUUUUAAUAUUUGUUGUAUAUAAAGUUAGUAUUAAUAUUUAAGUAGGAUUACAAUUAUUUCUUUAUGUAUGGCCAAGUUAAACCAAUAAGUGCCAGUAGAACAGACACAAUUAAAUCCAAACUUCACAGGGCAUGAAAAAAAUAAGAUAAAGCAAGGACCAUAUUCAUUUAUGGAUGAAAUAGUGAUAUUUUUUUGCAAUUUAAAAAUUGGAAUUUUGAGAAAACUUUUAAUAAAUUGAAGUUGUUUGACUAAUAAGAUGUAUCUAUCUAUGUAAAUUGUAUGUGCAAUAUAUUUUGUUAUUUUUAGUUUGAAUCAACAUUUCAUCAUGCCCGAGUCAUGUAUCAACAUCACUCAUUAUGUUAUGAAUCUUGUCAUCAGAAGUAGGUUUUCUUAAAAACAAAUAUCUAAAAAAAAACCAAAAAAAAACACACACCAUCUUUUCUGUAAAUGUUCAGUAAGAUUACUCUAUAUUAAGAUUACUCUAUAUUAAGACAUAAAAAAGAUGAUAUAAUAUGAAAUAAAUUGACCAUAUGUGUCUCACACAAAUGUUCUGUUUAGAAUUGUUCGAUAAAAUGCUGUCUUGUACAACUGGAACAGUUAAUCAAAAUUGAUAAAGCCUGCAAAGAAUUUACCUUCUUUAACUCAAAAGAACUGACAUAAUAGUAAAAUGAUAAGAGAUUUUUGAUAUACAUCAAUGAAGCAGCAACCUAACAAAAACACUUAGAUGUAAAUAAAGUCUUUAACAAUAGACAAAUGUGUAUUUAGUAAGUUUGAGGUUUAGAAUUGAUGUGAAUUAUUUUAAAGAUCUACAACUAAAAUACAAAUAACAAAAAGUUAAACAAAUAACAACCUCUGACAAAGUUCCUGAUUUGGAACAAACAUUUAUGUGUGGUGAUAUUAAAAUUAGUUCUUGUAAAAGUCAUCACUCUCAUUUUGGAACUUCAUGGAAUAACAAAAAUAAGGUUGAAACUGUUGUAAAAUUACAUCAGUGUGCUUACAUAGCUGGAAUUUGAAUUUCAUUUGUAGUUACAAAAUUUUGACAAAUAAGAUACUUAAUAUAUUCAUUUCUGAACCCUCUAGUGUAUAUCAAGUUAUAAUCAAGCCUUAAUAAUACAACUGUAUGCUUUAUUUUACUAUUGUAUUAAAUGGCAUGUACAUUUUAUCUCAUUUUAGAAAUCCAACAACAAGUAUUGUAUGAUAUAUUAAAGUUACAUUUUCUUUUACAUUUAUGUAUUUAUUUGUUACAGAAU
RNAcentral lists this long non-coding RNA (2032 nucleotides) under Mytilus galloprovincialis (Mediterranean mussel). Lineage: Eukaryota; Metazoa; Mollusca; Bivalvia; Mytilida; Mytilidae. The record is from RNAcentral.